CAGCGCCCCGGCGAGGCCUCACCCAGAGGGGGCCCCCCGCCGGCGAGACCUGCGGCGCGAGGAAGCCCGGCCGUCCUACGACGCCCCUGACGCCCCCCACAAAGCUCUCCGCGGGGCGCACAGCCGCGGACCCAGUUCUCAGAAGCCAGGCCUCGAGGGCUCGACAGAGGAGCAGACAAAGAAAUGGAGUCAGAGCCCCAGGCUGCGGCGCUGGGACCCUUCCCGCAGGGACAGCGGCGCCGGCGGCGGCGGGGGUGGCGGGGGCGCUUCGGCGCAGGCCCACGGGAGCCUGCAGAAGAAGGGCGGCGGCUCUCAUGCCACCACCUCCAGUGAGAAGAAACUCAAAACCAAUGGGGUGAAGCCAAGCAUGUGCAGAUUCAAGUAGUAACGGACACGGUGGAUUGCAGACCCGCGGGCACCUAAACAGAGCGCCCUGGCACAAGUCACAAUCUGAAUUUCAGGACGGUUUUCAUGACUGACCUGUAAGUCGCUGACUGGCCCUUUAAGCGCAUCCCCACCCUCACCACAGCCACACUGGGCUUCUUUCCAAAGAAAGGUGUCUUUCCACAAACCUUUCUUUGUCUUGACAGUCUCAGGCAAGUGAGUGCCCUUUAGGUAAAAUUUUAACCAGGGUCUGGGCCGUGUAAAGAAAACGGCAGGGAAGGAGCAGACAGCAGCCGCCCCCAGCGCAGGGCGGGCAGUAGCUUCAGCUCCCGACCUGCAGCGGCCUCCAUGUGGAACCGAGUGUGCACCAUUCUGUACCCUGUACCCUCUGAAACGUGUGAAAUCGAGUUCUUGGUGUCUCCAUCUGCUCCAGCGCUAGGAGAGGCUCCUUCUCAAGUCCGGGAGCUUCUCUUUUGAGCAAAGUCAUUUAUCCCUAAGCCACUUGCUCUUUCCAGACCGUGGAAUCUAGCACUUUCAUCGUUGUGUCUUUCCUUGAAGGUAGUUUAAAUGUGGAGGCGGCGGUGAAGGCCACCCUUGGAGUCUCUGUAUUUGAGGUGGAAGCCGUGCAGGACUCUGUGCAGCUGUAAGUUAUGGGUCUCAGCGGGCCUCCCACUGUGUGUGGGAGGGAAACGUGGCAUUUUGGCACCCUAGCGUCUCCGGCACGCACGGCUCCUGGAAGAAGAUGCAUGGGAAAACCACGUUUCGGAGCUCGUGCAUCGAACGCCUACAGCCAGACGCACACGGAGCCACACGUGACUGUCCCAGCCGUCCCACUACUGACCUGAGACCCGGAUACGCGGUGGUGUGGCGUCAGCGUAAGGGUCGUUUCACUUUGUCAAAACAGGAUUUUAUCACCUUGCUUCUGGGCAGAGGAGUGAGGACACAUUUCAAGACGGAGCGGGGAGUGGAAUAGGAAUCCUGGGGAUGACUGAGUGUCCUCGGCCCCCGGCCUCUCCUGGAUGCUUCCUGUUGGCUGCCGUGAAGUGACACCGCCUGUCUGCCCAGUUGCGCUGGGGCACUUCGUGGAUGACUGUGGAUGUCUUUAAAACCUGCAGCUGACUGCUGCCCACCCGGUAUGCUUCAGUGGCCGUAGCUGAUUUUAUGUCUUUAAAUGCUCAUUCUCUUUGUUUUCAUACACACUGGUUUCAAUUUUUUCACUUUUGGGGCAAACUAAAAAGUUGACUCUUAUCUUUUGAGAAUGCAUUCCGGCCUGCAGGCUCCACGGAGCAGCCAUUGCAUCUAAGACGCUUCAAGUUAAUAGCAGAAGGACAAGGUGCCUUUGUAAAUAAGGUAAUAAUGGGCAAAAGUUCAAUGUUAAGGUCCCGCUUUAAAAUCGGACUUUGAUAAUAUUCAACAACAUGUAUACCUUGUCACGGUCGGUUUUCUCUUCCAAGACUUUAUUUCUAGAUUUUCACAGAUUCCCGCUUAGAGUCUUUCUCUCUCACAGCACCCGCGGGACAAAGCAUGCCCUUAGCGCUAAGCCCUCGGACCUUUGGAUGCGAGCAGACGCGUCCGGUGGGCAUCCGUUCCCGCGGUCUCGGUGAUGCGGUGACUUCGACACUCGGUGUCUGUCUUGUAGUUUCAAAACAGCGCUGUUCCUGCCUCACCUUUCUGUGCUUCCUGAGCGGCCCCCGUGUGUCCUGUGCCUGCCCUGCUCCUCGUGAGGCUGAUGGACUCGUCCUUUAUACACUGCACCUCGUUCACGAUCCUUCCUCUGCUCAGAUUCUUAUGCACUUUUGAUAACGUUUCAGGGCUGAUGAGUCUCGGUCGGCACGUUAUACAUGGAUACGUGCUCGGUCACUGACGUGACGGGCUUCGGGCUGAGUCCCGCCUUCUCUGCUCACGCUCCUUGUGGGCUCCCUUGGACAUCCCCCAGGGCCACGGGCUGCUUUGCCUCGCGAGUGUUGGAGCCAAAGACCAUCAUGAUGAAGAAAUUUAUAGCUGGUGCCUCAGAUGCUCCGUUUGCUCCUGCUGUUUGAGUUGGAGUCAGUUGCCGACUUUGGGGAAUAGUUCUAAUGUCACGUGUUAAGGCCAUUUUAAAAGGCUCUGAAAGUGACUUCGCCUGUUUCCGUCUUUGCCUCCGGUCGAUGCUCUUUUCCCCAGUAUUCUUACAGGGGAUGGGAGCGCCAGAUGAGCCGCCGGGGCUCACUACGGAACAAAGGCACAAUUUGAAUUCCGUGGUUUCUGACGCACAUCCCGGUCACAGCCCCCUUCUCUAAAUGCUCAGACAGAAGCGUGGCCAUUGUCACACAGACGGCGCUGGCACGUGGAGUCGGGGCCUCCUCUGGCUGGUCAGGUCUCAGCCGCCGGGCGUCCUGCUAGUCUGGGGACAGGAGUCAUUCAUUCAGUAUUCAGAGAAGUGCCUCUCAUUUCUGGGGAAUUGUUUACGUCCAUGUUGUGUUUAAACCAAUUAAAAUAAUCCAAGGUAAAAAAAAAAAAAACCAAAAGUGUAGAGAAUGUAAGAGGAAUUAAUUACUUCAGACUUAGAAUCAGUGGAAAACGUAAAGACAUACAAACACAAAUUGCAAAAGUAUAUCAGCAUUAGCUACAGUUAUUGAGAUUGAGGCUGUGUCUCAAAUCUCUGACAGCUGGAUUGGCCAAAGUUGUGGAAGUGACUUGCAGGGCGGGGUGGGUGCCCCGUGUCGGCAAAGAUCGGGCCGUCAUUGAUCCCACGGCAGCUUCGGGCUGAGGGAGGAAGGCUUGCGGUGUCUCUUAGGCUAUUCGGUUAGUUUCCAGAGAGACGGAAGAAUCUGUACCUUCCGUGAGUUAAGUAUUGCCUGAGUCCCCUCACGCUCACUUACUGAGUAAUUAAAAAUAUAGAACUCGAGGCGGUACUGGAUUUUGAGGUAACAGAGAAGCAGUAUUUAGUAUGUGUUCGUGUGCAUGUACAGAGCUCCGUUUCAGAUGGCCUGACUGUUGGGCAUGUUUGUAUUUGCUGUUACAAUUACUGUCUGCUGGGUUUUGUACAUAAUAAAACAGAACGUGUCUACGUUUUUGUGACUCCGGACUUGUCCUUCCUGGAGAUCACUUAAUCGGUAGGAAAUACUGUCUGCAUUUUUUGGAUGUGGUUUUGUUUUGCUUUUCUUGCAGUUCUCUUCCUGUUUGUCUCUCUUCUCCCUAGUCACCUCACAGAGCCACUGGGGAGGGGACUCUGCCCCCAUCCUUUCUUAAUCCCGAGCCUCGUAGGUGACAACAUUACUGGACGCACCUGAGAAGCACCGCUGGUGAUGCUCUGCGUCCCUCUUCCUCUUAAGCCCCCAGAAGGUGCUGACUUCCUGGGGACCCGGCAUGGAAAUUCAGUAAAACUAAAGUGACAUGUGACGGAAGGGGUCACGCAUGAACUUGCAAGUGCAGGACUGAGCGCCAGCCGGCCCGGGGAGGGCACCUGGGCGCCGCAGGCACUCUGAAAGGCCCUUUGCUCCUUCUUCUAAACUCACGUGUGGCAAGCAGGUCACACUCGGCCCCCGCGGACUCGGGCCAGCUCCGCACACCGCGGGCCCGUCCUCAAGCCUGCUGACGGUGACGGGGUUCCGCACACGCCACCCGAUGCGUGACGUCUGGCGUGCCGACUUCCGCGAGCCAGAGCACUUGAGAAACAGCAAAUCGAAGGGAAAGACCCUCCCCUUCCUUUCUCUUCAAAGCAGGCGAGGAAAUUCCCAUGGGGAAGACCUCCUCCCUGCGCCAGAGAGGAAGUACCUCGCCUACCCUCAGGGAUGAGAAGUUGGGCCCCCCACACGGUCUCCUGCACCCCAGCACCAAGCAGCUUAAUCCUCAGGACCAGCCGAAAAGGACCCUAAGAGGGGCCAGAGAAGCUGAGUUCGCCACCCCAAAGGACCCCUCUUUCACCGAAGGAUUAUUUUAGGCUGAUUACAUUUCAGAAGCAGCACCCACACAGGAAAAGCUCUGAAAACGGAGCAGAAGGUACCCUU
Long non-coding RNA from Suricata suricatta (meerkat), 4373 nucleotides. RefSeq lists it as uncharacterized. Lineage: Eukaryota; Metazoa; Chordata; Mammalia; Carnivora; Herpestidae. The record is from RefSeq and is a predicted model, not a curated record. The transcript is spliced from 4 exons.